RNAcentral lists this ribosomal RNA (35 nucleotides) under Phyllachora sp. XL-2018q. Its description in RNAcentral is "partial 18S ribosomal RNA". Lineage: Eukaryota; Fungi; Ascomycota; Sordariomycetes; Phyllachorales; Phyllachoraceae. The record is from RNAcentral.
AGGUUUCCGUUGGUGAACCAGCGGAGGGAUCAUUA